AACUCAGGGAAACUUGAACUAAUACCGUAUGCGCCCUUCGGGGGAAAGAUUUAUCGGAGUUGGAUGAGCCCAUGUCUGAUUAGCUAGUUGGUGGGGUAAAGGCCUACCAAGGCGACAAUAAGUAGCUGGUCUGAGAGGAUGAUCAGCCACACUGGGACUGAGACACGGCCCAGACUCCUACGGGAGGCAGCAGUGGGGAAUAUUGGACAAUGGGGGCAACCCUGAUCCAGCCAUGCCGCGUGAGUGAUGAAGGCCCUAGGGUUGUAAAGCUCUUUCACCGGUGAAGAUAAUGACGGUAACCGGAGAAGAAGCCCCGGCUAACUUCGUGCCAGCAGCCGCGGUAAUACGAAGGGGGCUAGCGUUGUUCGGAAUUACUGGGCGUAAAGCGCGCGUAGGCGGAUCGGUCAGUUAGGGGUGAAAUCCCGGGGCUCAACCCCGGAACUGCCUCUAAUACUGCCGAUCUAGAGUUCGAGAGAGGUGAGUGGAAUUCCGAGUGUAGAGGUGAAAUUCGUAGAUAUUCGGAGGAACACCAGUGGCGAAGGCGGCUCACUGGCUCGAUACUGACGCUGAGGUGCGAGAGCGUGGGGAGCAAACAGGAUUAUAUACCCUGGGAGUCCACGCCGUAUACGAUGGAAGCUAGCCGUUGGCAGGUUUACCUGUCGGUGGCGCACUU
Molecule: ribosomal RNA, 673 nt
Filed under: Nitratireductor kimnyeongensis
Lineage: Bacteria; Pseudomonadati; Pseudomonadota; Alphaproteobacteria; Hyphomicrobiales; Phyllobacteriaceae
Description: bacterial SSU rRNA
Rfam family: Bacterial small subunit ribosomal RNA
Source: RNAcentral